Molecule: ribosomal RNA, 434 nt
Filed under: uncultured Adlercreutzia sp.
Lineage: Bacteria; Bacillati; Actinomycetota; Coriobacteriia; Eggerthellales; Eggerthellaceae
Description: partial 16S ribosomal RNA
Rfam family: Bacterial small subunit ribosomal RNA
Source: RNAcentral
ACGGGAGGCAGCAGUGGGGAAUUUUGCGCAAUGGGGGGAACCCUGACGCAGCAACGCCGCGUGCGGGAUGGAGGCCUUCGGGUUGUGAACCGCUUUCAGCAGGGACGAACGAUGACGGUACCUGCAGAAGAAGCUCCGGCUAACUACGUGCCAGCAGCCGCGGUAAUACGUAGGGAGCGAGCGUUAUCCGGAUUCAUUGGGCGUAAAGCGCGCGUAGGCGGCUGCGCAAGCGGAAUCUCUAACCCGGGGGCUCAACCCCCGGCCGGAUUCCGAACUGCGCGGCUCGAGUGCGGUAGGGGCAGGCGGAAUUCCCGGUGUAGCGGUGAAAUGCGCAGAUAUCGGGAAGAACACCGAUGGCGAAGGCAGCCUGCUGGGCCGCCACUGACGCUGAGGCGCGAAAGCUAGGGGAGCGAACAGGAUUAGAUACCCUGGUA